This 20-nucleotide unclassified non-coding RNA is filed under the name Pylaiella littoralis. RNAcentral's name for it is "LIGATED EXONS from Pylaiella littoralis (PDB 4R0D, chain B)". The record is from RNAcentral. Lineage: Eukaryota; Phaeophyceae; Ectocarpales; Acinetosporaceae.
ACUGUUUAUUAAAAACACAG